RNAcentral lists this ribosomal RNA (155 nucleotides) under uncultured Chitinophaga sp. RNAcentral's name for it is "partial 16S ribosomal RNA". It matches the Rfam family "Bacterial small subunit ribosomal RNA", at positions 355 to 507 of the family's 1533-position model. The record is from RNAcentral. Lineage: Bacteria; Pseudomonadati; Bacteroidota; Chitinophagia; Chitinophagales; Chitinophagaceae.
UAAGGAAUAUUGGUCAAUGGACGCAAGUCUGAACCAGCCAUGCCGCGUGAAGGAUGAAGGUCCUCUGGAUUGUAAACUUCUUUUAUAUGGGACGAAACCCGGGUAUUCCUACCCGAUUGACGGUACCAUAGGAAUAAGCACCGGCUAACUCCGUG